GACGAACGCUGGCGGCGUGCUUAACACAUGCAAGUCGAGCGAAUGGAUUAAGAGCUUGCUCUUAUGAAGUUAGCGGCGGACGGGUGAGUAACACGUGGGUAACCUGCCCAUAAGACUGGGAUAACUCCGGGAAACCGGGGCUAAUACCGGAUAACAUUUUGAACCGCAUGGUUCGAAAUUGAAAGGCGGCUUCGGCUGUCACUUAUGGAUGGACCCGCGUCGCAUUAGCUAGUUGGUGAGGUAACGGCUCACCAAGGCAACGAUGCGUAGCCGACCUGAGAGGGUGAUCGGCCACACUGGGACUGAGACACGGCCCAGACUCCUACGGGGGGCAGCAGUAGGGAAUCUUCCGCAAUGGACGAAAGUCUGACGGAGCAACGCCGCGUGAGUGAUGAAGGCUUUCGGGUCGUAAAACUCUGUUGUUAGGGAUGAACAAGUGCUAGUUGAAUAAGCUGGCACCUUGACGGUACCUAACCAGAAAGCCACGGCUAACUACGUGCCAGCAGCCGCGGUAA
This 515-nucleotide ribosomal RNA is filed under the name uncultured bacterium. Its description in RNAcentral is "partial 16S ribosomal RNA". It matches the Rfam family "Bacterial small subunit ribosomal RNA", at positions 28 to 523 of the family's 1533-position model. The record is from RNAcentral.